Non-coding RNA from Physeter macrocephalus (sperm whale), 970 nucleotides. The record is from the annotation of a RefSeq genome assembly. Lineage: Eukaryota; Metazoa; Chordata; Mammalia; Artiodactyla; Physeteridae.
CAAAGGUUUGGUCCCAGCCUUCCUAUUAGCUCCCAACAGAUUUACACAUGCAAGCAUCUACAUCCCAGUGAAAAUGCCCUCCAAGUCACAAAGAUCAAAAGGAGCUGGUAUCAAGCACGCUUCACUAGCAGCUCACAACACCUUGCUUAGCCACACCCCCACGGGACACAGCAGUGAUAAAAAUUAAGCCAUGAACGAAAGUUUGACUAAGUCAUGGUUGAUUAGGGUUGGUAAAUUUCGUGCCAGCCACCGCGGUCAUACGAUUGACCCAAGCUAAUAGGCAUACGGCGUAAGGAGUGUUAAAGAGUUAUACAAAAUAAAGUCAAGCCUUGACUAAACCGUAAAAAGCCAUAGUUAAAAUUAAGCUAAACCACGAAAGUGACUUUGGUACAAUCUACUGCACGACAACUAAGACCCAAACUGGGAUUAGAUACCCCACUAUGCUUAGCCGUAAACCCAGGUAGUCAUAAAACAAGACUAUUCGCCAGAGUACUACUAGCAACAGCCUAAAACUCAAAGGACUUGGCGGUGCUUCAUACCCCCCUAGAGGAGCCUGUUCUAUAACCGAUAAACCCCGAUCAACCUCACCAACCCUUGCUACUUCAGUCUAUAUACCGCCAUCUUCAGCAAACCCUAAAAAGGAAUGAAAGUAAGCAUAACUAUCCUACGUAAAAACGUUAGGUCAAGGUGUAACCCAUGGGAUGGGAAGAAAUGGGCUACAUUUUCUACACCAUAGAACACCCUAUACCCCACGAAAGUUUUUAUGAAACCUAAAAACCAAAGGAGGAUUUAGCAGUAAAUUAAGAACAGAGUGCUUAAUUGAAUAAGGCCAUGAAGCACGCACACACCGCCCGUCACCCUCCUCAAGUAUCACAGCGAACGCCCAAUCCACUAAUUUAUGCCGAGCGCCCCCACAAGAGGAGACAAGUCGUAACAAGGUAAGCAUACUGGAAGGUGUGCUUGGAUAAAA